GACGAACGCUGGCGGCGUGCUUAACACAUGCAAGUCGAACGGAAAGGCCCUGCGUUUGUGGGGUGCUCGAGUGGCGAACGGGUGAGUAAAACGUGAGUAACCUGCCCUUGACUUUGGGAUAACUUCAGGAAACUGGGGCUAAUACCGGAUAGGAGCUCCUGCAGCACGGGGGGGGAUGGAAAGAUUCGGCGGUUGGGGAUGGACUCGCGGCUUAUCAGCUUGUUGGGGGGGUAGUGGCUUACCAAGGCUUUGACGGGUAGCCGGCCUGAGAGGGUGACCGGCCACAUUGGGACUGAGAUACGGCCCAGACUCCUACGGGAGGCAGCAGUGGGGAAUCUUGCACAAUGGGCGGAAGCCUGAUGCAGCAACGCCGCGUGCGGGAUGACGGCCUUCGGGUUGUAAACCGCUUUCGCCUGUGACGAAGCGUGAGUGACGGUAAUGGGUAAAGAAGCACCGGCUAACUACGUG
This 468-nucleotide ribosomal RNA is filed under the name uncultured bacterium. RNAcentral describes it as "partial 16S ribosomal RNA". It matches the Rfam family "Bacterial small subunit ribosomal RNA", at positions 28 to 507 of the family's 1533-position model. The record is from RNAcentral.